GGACGAACGCUGGCGGCACGCUUAACACAUGCAAGUCGAACGAGCGAAAGAGUGCUUGCACUCUCUAGCUAGUGGCGGACGGGUGAGUAACACGUGAGCAAUCUGCCUUUCGGUGGGGGAUACCAAUUGGAAACGAUUGUUAAUACCCCAUAACAUAGAUAAGCCGCAUGACCUAUCUAUCAAAGAUUUAUUGCCGGAAGAUGAGCUCGCGUCUGAUUAGGUAGUUGGUGAGGUAACGGCCCACCAAGCCGACGAUCAGUAGCCGGACUGAGAGGUUGAACGGCCACAUUGGGACUGAGACACGGCCCAGACUCCUACGGGAGGCAGCAGUGGGGAAUAUUGCACAAUGGGCGAAAGCCUGAUGCAGCGAUGCCGCGUGAGGGAAGAAGGUUUUAGGAUUGUAAACCUCUGUCUUUGGGGACGAUAAUGACGGUACCCAAGGAGGAAGCUCCGGCUAACUACGUGCCAGCCGCCGC
Molecule: ribosomal RNA, 476 nt
Filed under: uncultured bacterium
Lineage: Bacteria
Description: bacterial SSU rRNA
Rfam family: Bacterial small subunit ribosomal RNA
Source: RNAcentral